Paramuricea clavata is the source of this 666-nucleotide non-coding RNA. NCBI's taxonomy places the organism in Eukaryota, Metazoa, Cnidaria, Anthozoa, Malacalcyonacea, Plexauridae. The record is from the annotation of a GenBank genome assembly.
ACAGGGCCGUAGCAACCGGGGGGGCUGGGGGGGCUGCAGCCCCCCCCCCCCAAUAAUUUGCUAAUAAUCAUUCUUUUUUCAAAAUCAUGCAAACUUUAUCAUUUAAUCUGUGACAAACUGCAAAGAAUGAAGAUAUUAUACUCAUACUCCAGAUCGUUCCUCGCAUAGAAAUUUUAGCUGAAUUUCUGUCGCGCAUUUUCAAGAAAAUCCCACAAAAUCUGCACAUUUUUGAUGAACUAAUGAUUUAUUUUGUCUUUUGCGUGUUGGGUCUUGCGAAAGAAAACUCUGAAAAUGCCAUUUCAGACCAUCUAGAGACUCCAGAUUUUCGAAAUUUUCUCAAAUGUUCUGCCUUCGUUUCCGCGCAACUGCCAUUUACGACGAAAAUUCCCGCCGCGUAUUUAUAAUACUACAGUCUGGCCCAUACUUUCCUGUAAAUUUCGACAUACUAAAACGCUGUUUUCUGACUAUCAGAAUUCUGUUAAAUCUUCCCCCAAAGUCCAGGAAAUGGCAUUUUAGAGACUCUAAAUUUAAAAAUUUCCUCGGGCCUUCGGCCCUCGCUUUCAGCCCCCCCCCAAUCGAAAAGAGCUUCCUACGGCCCUGCUUUAUAGUAUCAAUUCGUAAUAUUGUCUUAGUAAUUACUAAUUAGUUUGUGUAUAUUAGAACGAG